Molecule: ribosomal RNA, 234 nt
Filed under: uncultured Lactobacillus sp.
Lineage: Bacteria; Bacillati; Bacillota; Bacilli; Lactobacillales; Lactobacillaceae
Description: partial 16S ribosomal RNA
Rfam family: Bacterial small subunit ribosomal RNA
Source: RNAcentral
GCCCAAGAGAUCGGGAUAACACCUGGAAACAGAUGCUAAUACCGGAUAACAACAGAUGAUGCCUAUCAACUGUUUAAAAGAUGGUUCUGCUAUCACUCUUGGAUUGACCUGCGGUGCAUUAGCUAGUUGGUAGGGUAACGGCCUACCAAGGCGAUGAUGCAUAGCCGAGUUGAGAGACUGAUCGGCCACAUUGGGACUGAGACACGGCCCAAACUCCUACGGGAGGCAGCAGCU